CCCCUAGACGUUCUGGGCUGCACGCGCGCUACAAUAAUACGCACAGCGAGUAUCACCGAGCUCGAAAGGGCAAGGUAAACAAUAGAAAAGGUACUGUAAUGGUUAUAGAUCCUUGUAAUUAUUGAUCUUCAACGAGGAAUUCCUAGUAAGUAUGUGUCAUCAUCACGCACUGAUUACGUCCCUGCCCUUUGUACACACCGCCCGUCGCUCCUACCGAUUGGGUGGGCCGAUGAAACUCUCGGAUGUAGGCUAUUCAUAGCCCGCAGAAGAGAUUUGAAUCGUAGCGCUUAGAGGAAGGAGAAGUCGUAACA
Molecule: ribosomal RNA, 311 nt
Filed under: uncultured eukaryote
Lineage: Eukaryota
Description: partial 18S ribosomal RNA
Rfam family: Eukaryotic small subunit ribosomal RNA
Source: RNAcentral